GCUGAAAUGUAUCACUGAAACAUUCAGCAUAAACCUGCACUUUAACCAUGUCUGUGUACCUGACUUUUUUCUCAUCCUGGCGACUUUGACUUCAAUCAAGUAUGGCUUACAACCUGUUUGAGAUAUGGCAAACCUUGCAGAGAUGUUCGCUAGGAGAACUGUGCCUGUUUUCAGGAAGCUUUUCAGCUUGGUAGUGAAUCGCAGUGAUUUAAGCAGACACAUACAACUUGUUGGAUGAAAGGUGAGGAUAUUUGGAAACGCUUUUCAAAAUGUAGAGCAUGUUUCACUUUCAUUUCUAUUAAGUCUCUAAAUGCCCGUAUUGAUUUAAUCAUUAGACUUGUGAUGACCUCUGAAAACCAAUAUUCUUUUCCUUUUCUUUUUUUCAAGAAAAGAAUGGUAUCAACAAGGACUUUAGGGAAGGACAGUUUUCCCCCUUCUUGACAAAAAAUAUAGAAUAAUUUCCUCUUAUAUUGUGAGCUUGGAUGAUUAUGGAAGCUAUAUUUCAAAAAGUAAAAACCAGCACACCCCAAAACUUUCCAAAAAAGGCCCUGCGAUUUUUCGAUUGACUUGUCUGAGAUCUGGGACAAAGUGCCACAUUUCAGAAAUUCCUCCCGGACGUCAAUUCCACCGUUGAAAUCCUGGUUCUGUCUGGGAAAAUCCAGACGUAUGGCAGUCCUUUCUCUACGCUAUGUGGUUUAGGUAACCUGAGAACUUCAAGUCCUCAGCUAAUGCAGCAACAGCCUUCAGUAGACUCAUGUGACCUGUUUCUGACGGCAAGCUUUUGUGCUGCAGCUAAAAAGAAUCAUACAAAUGUAGCUCUCAUGUUAAGCAGACCAGGUGAAAACUUGCAGAAAAUUAAAAAGCAAGCAUGCUAGAGGGAAGGUUUUAACCUAGCCUGCCCCCCAAAGUACCACUUCUAUACUUGUAGGGAGUGUGUUUCUGUUUAUUUUGGUAGGGAACCAUCCAAAUAUUUGGCCGCUUGUCAUCUAAAGGGAUACAUUCUAGCCUCAGAUAAAUCACUUAAGCUUGCAGACCCCUCAAGUGUCCCUAUUUUCUAGAGACAGUCCCGGAUUUACCGAAGAUGUCCUUAGAAAUAAAAGUCUCAGAUGAAAUCUGGAAAGAAAUAUAUCGUCCACAGUAGGUUUACCAUGGGGCCUUUGUGUGUGUGUGUGUGUUUCUCUGUGUGUCAUAUUUUUUGAUUCUAUCUCUGAAAUAUAUACUCAUAGAUUAGGAGAAUGUGUUGGACAUUUGGUGACGUGUGAAGAUUAAGAUUUUUUUUUAAAGAAGUUAAUUAGGCAUAUGCAAGAAAUAAUUGGAUACUGCAUACGUAUCAAUCCUUUAAUGAUUGUGCUGGAAAAUCUUGCAGAAUAUGUGAGAUCAGAACACUGAAAUUUAUAUGGGUUUUGAUAACUGCUUCCAAAAUAGUGAUAGCAGCCAAAUGGCUUACCGUAACAGUUUGAACAGGAGAAGAGUGGUUUAAUAAAAAUUGGUACUUUGCCAAAAUGAGUAAAUUAAAUGGAGACAAAGAAAUGAACAAUUUAAGAGCUUUAUGGUCCUCCUUUAUUAAAGAGAUGAAACAACAAUAUCUAUUAGAAUUAUUUAAAGCUUUUUCAUUGUUAUUAUAAUGAAUAAUUUACAUCACAGGAACUUAAACAGG
Molecule: non-coding RNA, 1657 nt
Organism: Podarcis lilfordi (Lilford's wall lizard)
Lineage: Eukaryota; Metazoa; Chordata; Lepidosauria; Squamata; Lacertidae
Source: the annotation of a GenBank genome assembly